Molecule: ribosomal RNA, 492 nt
Filed under: uncultured bacterium
Lineage: Bacteria
Description: partial 16S ribosomal RNA
Rfam family: Bacterial small subunit ribosomal RNA
Source: RNAcentral
AGUGAACGCUGGCGGUAGGCCUAACACAUGCAAGUCGAACGGCAGCACAGUAAGAGCUUGCUCUUACGGGUGGCGAGUGGCGGACGGGUGAGGAAUACAUCGGAAUCUACUUUUUCGUGGGGGAUAACGUAGGGAAACUUACGCUAAUACCGCAUACGACCUACGGGUGAAAGCAGGGGAUCUUCGGACCUUGCGCGAUUGAAUGAGCCGAUGUCGGAUUAGCUAGUUGGCGGGGUAAAGGCCCACCAAGGCGACGAUCCGUAGCUGGUCUGAGAGGAUGAUAGGCCACACUGGACCUGAGACACGGUCCAGACUCCUACGGGAGGCAGCAGUGGGGAAUAUUGGACAAUGGGCGCAAGCCUGAUCCAGCCAGACCGCGUGGGUGAAGAAGGCCUUCGGGUUGUAAAGACCUUUUGUUGGGAAAGAAAAGCAGCAGGUUAAUACCCCGCUGUUCUGACGGUACCCAAAGAAUAAGCACCGGCUAACUUCGUG